GAUGAACGCUGGCGGCGUGCCUAAUACAUGCAAGUCGAGCGGUAAGGCCCUUCGGGGUACACGAGCGGCGGACGGGUGAGUAACGCGUAAGAAUCUACCCCAAACUGAGGGAUAACUGCUCGAAAGAGUAGCUAAUACCGCAUGUGCUCUACGGAGUAAAGCUACGGCGGUUUGGGAAGAGCUUGCGUACGAUUAGCUAGUUGGUAAGGUAAUGGCUUACCAAGGCGACGAUCGUUAGCUGGUCUGAGAGGAUGAUCAGCCACACUGGGACUGAGACACGGCCCAGACUCCUACGGGAGGCAGCAGUAGGGAAUUUUCCACAAUGGGGGCAACCCUGAUGGAGCAACGCCGCGUGCAGGAUGAAGGCCUUCGGGUUGUAAACUGCUUUUGUCUGUGACGAAUAUGACGGUAGCAGACGAAUAAGGAUCGGCUAACUACGUGCCAGCCGCCGCAGUAA
RNAcentral lists this ribosomal RNA (457 nucleotides) under uncultured bacterium. Its description in RNAcentral is "partial 16S ribosomal RNA". It matches the Rfam family "Bacterial small subunit ribosomal RNA", at positions 28 to 523 of the family's 1533-position model. The record is from RNAcentral.